This 451-nucleotide ribosomal RNA is filed under the name uncultured bacterium. Its description in RNAcentral is "bacterial SSU rRNA". It matches the Rfam family "Bacterial small subunit ribosomal RNA", at positions 9 to 507 of the family's 1533-position model. The record is from RNAcentral.
CGAGUUUGAUCAUGGCUCAGAACGAACGCUGGCGGCAGGCUUAACACAUGCAAGUCGAACGCCCCGCAAGGGAGGUGGCAGACGGGUGAGUAACACGUGGGAACAUGCCCAAAGGUACGGAAUAUUCUCGGGAAACUGGGAGCAAUACCGUAUGUGCCCGAAAGGGGAAAGAUUUAUCGCCUUUGGAUUGGCCCGCGUUGGAUUAGCUAGUUGGUGGGGUAAAAGCCUACCAAGGCGACGAUCCAUAGCUGGUCUGAGAGGACGACCAGCCACACUGGGACUGAGACACGGCCCAGACUCCUACGGGAGGCAGCAGUGGGGAAUCUUGGACAAUGGGCGCAAGCCUGAUCCAGCCAUGCCGCGUGAGUGAUGAAGGCCCUAGGGUUGUAAAACUCUUUCGUGGGGGACGAUAAUGACGGUACCCCAAGAAGAAGCUCCGGCUAACUUCGUG